RNAcentral lists this long non-coding RNA (908 nucleotides) under Coturnix japonica (Japanese quail). Its description in RNAcentral is "lncRNA (ENSCJPG00005003156.1)". The record is from RNAcentral. Lineage: Eukaryota; Metazoa; Chordata; Aves; Galliformes; Phasianidae.
AUCAGCGUGCUUUUUAUUGGAGGUGCAAAUUAUACAUAAUAACAUACAGCAAUUUUCAGUUAGAACUUUCGCAUUUUGCAGAAGUCCUUGCAUUUUUUUCAACAAAUAUAAGGGGAAGAAAAAUUCUCUCUUUUGUUUCCUCCCUUUCCCUUUUUCUUACAGAAAACAACGUCCAGGUUUUCUUGGAGCCAAUUAAGUCCAUUUGAAAUAAAGUUCUUUUAUUUUGGAUCAAGAGUGUCCACAUGGGGAGUUAAUCAAGAAUAAUUAUUCCUCUCUAAAUUCACAUCCUCAAAUAAUUUGAAUUAAAUCCCCAGCAUAGGAAAGCCCUAAAUGUCAGAGGAGGUUAAAAAAUAGUAGAGUAGACUAGAGGAGCUCUAUCAUAACAGAAAGCGAUGACAGUAAAACCAUCCUCUAUGCAGCCAGCCCAAGCCAGCAAGCGGAGCCAGCCAGGAUGGAUCCAGGUACAAAUGAUCCCACUCUCACUGUUCAGCCAUUUAAAGUCAACUGCUGUAUGUGUCCAUGGCACAGUUGCUAUGUACACUCUGUAUAGUGAUGUAAUAGUGGCAUCAGGCAGGAGAUGCUGCAGUCAUCAGAAGGAGCGAGUUCAGGCACAUCUCAGGAAGGAAUGUUGCUCAGGGAUGGAUGCCUUUCUCAGUUGUUUUCCCAGCUGGCUGCAGAACGAACUCUCCUACUCUGAAUAUAAAAGUGUUUACGAACGGAGCCGGAAAGGUAAAUUCUUCAACUUUCUCUAGCAGGGGCUGGCACAGAAUGAAGUUCCCGUUAUUGAUUAAGCCCAGGUGGUCUGCUCACACAGCAAACAGAUAUUUUACAAAGCUUUAUUACGCCUCAUUAGGAUUCACUCCUUUAGAAGAUUUCUAAUUAUAUUGUCUAAUAAAACUAAACCUUCG